Spinacia oleracea (spinach) is the source of this 413-nucleotide long non-coding RNA. RefSeq lists it as uncharacterized. The record is from RefSeq and is a predicted model, not a curated record. The transcript has 2 exons. NCBI's taxonomy places the organism in Eukaryota, Viridiplantae, Streptophyta, Magnoliopsida, Caryophyllales, Amaranthaceae.
GGCAUUUAUUUAAACACAACAGUUAGUUUGAGAAUGAUUAUUAACUCUUGUUUGAGAAAAGGAAGAUCUAAUGAAGAAGACAUGCAAGUAUUGAAAAGCGAGAUCACAAAUUUGUUUAAGAAACAACAUUAUAGAAAGAAUUAAAAGAUGUAAAUGAGAAGAUGAUUAGCGUCAAGAAUCAUGACAAUAGACUACAAGAAGGGUGUUUUUUGCAGUUAUGAGAUCUUGUGGUUUUAUAUACGGAGUAUUUAUGAGAUCUUGGAUUUUCAUUUGUUAGAUUCGCGUUUCAGAUAAUUGUGUGUAAUAUUUAAUCUUAGAUUGAUUUGUUUACAUUAAAUUUUGGAUGAAAUUCUAUUAGUCAUGAUGUACAUAAAUAACGUUUAGCCGAAUUAAUGAAGUUUUUUCCAUCUUAA